Rhododendron vialii is the source of this 330-nucleotide long non-coding RNA. RefSeq lists it as uncharacterized. The transcript has 2 exons. Lineage: Eukaryota; Viridiplantae; Streptophyta; Magnoliopsida; Ericales; Ericaceae. The record is from RefSeq and is a predicted model, not a curated record.
AGAGUACAUGUUUUCCCUUUCAAGGGGGAAAAAAAAAAAAAGAUUACUACCAUAGAACAGUUUGUCGGCCAAAUCGAAUUUACGUAUAAAUCGAGAGAGAAGAAUUAAUCCGUGGGAUAACCGCGAGGUAAACUGACCUCAAAGGAUGUCUUUGAUGUACUUUUGAAGGAUCAUAUUGACAAGGACCCUGUAUGUUCUCUCCGUGGGAUGGUAACUGUCCCAAAAUAGGUACUUGGAAUCGUCUGAACAUACUCUGGACAAUUUGUUACAUAGUACGGCUGCCUCUAUUAUCCCCGUGCCACAACAACCAGUAUCGACAAUAGAAAAUCC